Long non-coding RNA from Setaria italica (foxtail millet), 839 nucleotides. RefSeq lists it as uncharacterized. Lineage: Eukaryota; Viridiplantae; Streptophyta; Magnoliopsida; Poales; Poaceae. The record is from RefSeq and is a predicted model, not a curated record. The transcript is spliced from 2 exons.
AGCUGUCUCUGAUCAUCAUUUCUCCCGAGGUUCCAUGGUGUAUGUGGUGGGUUUGUUUGUUUCUUGGGCUGCUGAUUCAAGUGAAAAGAGGUGGGAUCUGUGUGGCCAAGAGGUCGUGGCUGCUUGGAUUCCUGAUCGGAUUUGGCCGCGCUUCGAGUAAGGGAGGAGGGAGCUGCGCGGGAUGGCCGGAUUGGGCUCAGGGUCAGGGUAACUUGGGGAUGCUGGAGGAACCCGAUCCGCCAAUGCCUCUGAUUAUCAUCCAUGCCAUGUGAAGUUAGCCUUGGCGCACCUUAGGUCACCGUUUCCAUCGCCAUGUGGUGGAAGAAACUCUUCGGCAAAAGAUAGGUUUAUUGAAACAAAGAUUAUUUUUCUGUCGGGAUUUAGUGCGAAGGUGAAAUGCUGCGGUAAAGUUAGCAUCUACCUGUAGUUGUUGGUCUAGAUGAAUGGGUUGGCUCAGGAUUUGGAGGGACCACAUCAAUUUUGUUGAGCAGUCACAUCAUCUUUUCUUGGAAAUCAUUGCUCAUGAAAUGGCUUUGUAGUCUGAGAAUUAUUAUUUUUUUGUAAAAGUUUCAGGACAGUUGAGUCAUAUAUUCAUUCGGGUACUUGUAAUGUGUGGUAGCAAACUUGUAUGCAUACUUGCCUGUUAUCCAGCAGGAAUUCCAUUAAGCCAUAAGUGCAAUCUGGUAGGAAUCGAAUUCUACUUGGGACCAUUUGUAUAUAGUAAUCUUGUGAUUAUAAAUCCUUUUGAGUAGCUACACUAAUGGUAUUCAGAAUGAGUCAAGGUUAGCUAUUUCUGACCAGCAUGCCCCCAAAUAACCAAAAGAUAAUCCCCCAAAUCC